AUCAGAAGUGCGAAUGCUGACAUAAGUAACGAUAAAGCGGGUGAAAAGCCCGCUCGCCGGAAGACCAAGGGUUCCUGUCCAACGUUAAUCGGGGCAGGGUGAGUCGACCCCUAAGGCGAGGCCGAAAGGCGUAGUCGAUGGGAAACAGGUUAAUAUUCCUGUACUUGGUGUUACUGCGAAGGGGGGACGGAGAAGGCUAUGUUGGCCGGGCGACGGUUGUCCCGGUUUAAGCGUGUAGGCUGGUUUUCCAGGCAAAUCCGGAAAAUCAAGGCUGAGGCGUGAUGACGAGGCACUACGGUGCUGAAGCAACAAAUGCCCUGCUUCCAGGAAAAGCCUCUAAGCAUCAGGUAACAUCAAAUCGUACCCCAAACCGACACAGGUGGUCAGGUAGAGAAUACCAAGGCGCUUGAGAGAACUCGGGUGAAGGAACUAGGCAAAAUGGUGCCGUAACUUCGGGAGAAGGCACGCUGAUAUGUAGGUGAAGUCCCUUGCGGAUGGAGCUGAAAUCAGUCGAAGAUACCAGCUGGCUGCAACUGUUUAUUAAAAACACAGCACUGUGCAAACACGAAAGUGGACGUAUACGGUGUGACGCCUGCCCGGUGCCGGAAGGUUAAUUGAUGGGGUCAGCGCAAGCGAAGCUCUUGAUCGAAGCCCCGGUAAACGGCGGCCGUAACUAUAACGGUCCUAAGGUAGCGAAAUUCCUUGUCGGGUAAGUUCCGACCUGCACGAAUGGCGUAAUGAUGGCCAGGCUGUCUCCACCCGAGACUCAGUGAAAUUGAACUCGCUGUGAAGAUGCAGUGUACCCGCGGCAAGACGGAAAGACCCCGUGAACCUUUACUAUAGCUUGACACUGAACAUUGAGCCUUGAUGUGUAGGAUAGGUGGGAGGCUUUGAAGUGUGGACGCCAGUCUGCAUGGAGCCGGCCUUGAAAUACCACCCUUUAAUGUUUGAUGUUCUAACGUGGACCCGUGAUCCGGGUUGCGGACAGUGUCUGGUGGGUAGUUUGACUGGGGCGGUCUCCUCCUAAAGAGUAACGGAGGAGCACGAAGGUUGGCUAAUCCUGGUCGGACAUCAGGAGGUUAGUGCAAUGGCAUAAGCCAGCUUGACUGCGAGCGUGACGGCGCGAGCAGGUGCGAAAGCAGGUCAUAGUGAUCCGGUGGUUCUGAAUGGAAGGGCCAUCGCUCAACGGAUAAAAGGUACUCCGGGGAUAACAGGCUGAUACCGCCCAAGAGUUCAUAUCGACGGCGGUGUUUGGCACCUCGAUGUCGGCUCAUCACAUCCUGGGGCUGAAGUAGGUCCCAAGGGUAUGGCUGUUCGCCAUUUAAAGUGGUACGCGAGCUGGGUUUAGAACGUCGUGAGACAGUUCGGUCCCUAUCUGCCGUGGGCGCUGGAGAACUGAGGGGGGCUGCUCCUAGUACGAGAGGACCGGAGUGGACGCAUCACUGGUGUUCGGGUUGUCAUGCCAAUGGCACUGCCCGGUAGCUAAAUGCGGAAGAGAUAAGUGCUGAAAGCAUCUAAGCACGAAACUUGCCCCGAGAUGAGUUCUCCCUGACCCUUUAAGGGUCCUGAAGGAACGUUGAAGACGACGACGUUGAUAGGCCGGGUGUGUAAGCGCAGCGAUGCGUUGAGCUAACCGGUACUAAUGAACCGUGAGGCUUAACCUU
Molecule: ribosomal RNA, 1664 nt
Filed under: Shigella sonnei
Lineage: Bacteria; Pseudomonadati; Pseudomonadota; Gammaproteobacteria; Enterobacterales; Enterobacteriaceae
Description: partial 23S ribosomal RNA
Rfam family: Bacterial large subunit ribosomal RNA
Source: RNAcentral